GACGAACGCUGGCGGCGUGCUUAACACAUGCAAGUCGAACGGAAAGGCCCUGCUUUUGUGGGGAGCUAGAGGGGGGAACGGGAGAGUAACACGGGAGUAAGCUGGCCAUGAGUUGGGGAUAACUUGAGGAAACUGGGGAUAAUACAGGAUAGGAGCUCCUGAUGGAGGGUGGGGGUUGGAAAGCUUCGGCGGUUGGGGAUGGACUCGCGGCUAAUCAGCUUGUUGGUGGGGGAGUGGCCUAGCAAGGCAUUGACGGGUAGCCGGCCUGAGAGGGUGACCGGCCACAUUGGUCCUGCGGUACGGCCCAGUCUCCUACGUGAGGCAGCGGUCGGGAAUAUUGCACAAUGGUCGGAAGCCUGUUGCAACAACGCCGCGUUCGUGAUGACGUCCUUCUUGUUGUAAACCGCAUUCGCCUGUUACGUAGCUUUUUUGACGUUAAUGGGUGAAUAAGCACUGGCUAACUUCGUG
RNAcentral lists this ribosomal RNA (468 nucleotides) under uncultured bacterium. RNAcentral's name for it is "partial 16S ribosomal RNA". It matches the Rfam family "Bacterial small subunit ribosomal RNA", at positions 28 to 507 of the family's 1533-position model. The record is from RNAcentral.